This 305-nucleotide ribosomal RNA is filed under the name Campylobacter fetus subsp. testudinum. RNAcentral's name for it is "bacterial LSU rRNA". It matches the Rfam family "Bacterial large subunit ribosomal RNA", at positions 872 to 1176 of the family's 2925-position model. Lineage: Bacteria; Pseudomonadati; Campylobacterota; Epsilonproteobacteria; Campylobacterales; Campylobacteraceae. The record is from RNAcentral.
AGGUAUAGCGUUGUGUCGUAAUUAUAAGGGGUAGAGCACUGAAUGGGCUAGGGCAUAUACCAAUGUACCAAACCCUAUCAAACUCCGAAUACUUAUAAUGUAAUCACAGCAGUCAGGCGGCGAGUGAUAAAAUCCGUCGUCAAGAGGGGAACAACCCAGACUAACAGCUAAGGUCCCUAAAUCUCAUUUAAGUGGAAAACGAUGUGGAGUUACUGAAACAACCAGGAGGUUGGCUUAGAAGCAGCCAUCCUUUAAAGAAAGCGUAAUAGCUCACUGGUCUAGUGAUUCUGCGCGGAAAAUAUAAC